Molecule: non-coding RNA, 483 nt
Organism: Cinara cedri
Lineage: Eukaryota; Metazoa; Arthropoda; Insecta; Hemiptera; Aphididae
Source: the annotation of a GenBank genome assembly
CAGACGCACGUCGUCCGGACCAACUGCGGGUAUUUCAGCGUGAUCGUUUCGUAACGAACAAUUUGAUUUUUAAAUGUAUGAUAUCAAACGACACUGCAUAACCGUAAUUCACGGGCCCGUGACUAAACGCUAAUGGAACAAAACAAUAUCGGGACUAACGGUGAACCGAAUAAAAUAUUUAGGGACUACAUGAUGUUGCUCUGACGCGUGCGUUUUUAAACCAUAGAUAAUGCAUAAACGACAGAACAUGCAUGUAACAACAACCCGCGGGGCCGCGUGCCCGAAAAACUCCAAAACCAUCGCGUUUCUGAUUAUAAAUUAUUUCAGUGGUAUCCGGCGAUUGUAAACUGUGCCCAAAGUACAGGUAAACACAAAAUCACGUGUGCAAACGGCACCCGAGUUUUUAUCAAGGGUAAAAAGGUGACAUGGAAAUUGCGUCCGAGUAAAACAAAAAUAAACGCAAUUAAAAAAUGACUGACAGGG